This 208-nucleotide ribosomal RNA is filed under the name uncultured bacterium. RNAcentral describes it as "partial 16S ribosomal RNA". It matches the Rfam family "Bacterial small subunit ribosomal RNA", at positions 568 to 774 of the family's 1533-position model. The record is from RNAcentral.
AGCGCAGGCGGACCGGCAAGUUGGAAGUGAAAACUAUGGGCUCAACCCAUAAAUUGCUUUCAAAACUGCUGGCCUUGAGUAGUGCAGAGGUAGGUGGAAUUCCCGGUGUAGCGGUGGAAUGCGUAGAUAUCGGGAGGAACACCAGUGGCGAAGGCGACCUACUGGGCACCAACUGACGCUGAGGCUCGAAAGCAUGGGGUAGCAAACA